This 156-nucleotide ribosomal RNA is filed under the name uncultured bacterium. Its description in RNAcentral is "partial 16S ribosomal RNA". It matches the Rfam family "Bacterial small subunit ribosomal RNA", at positions 355 to 507 of the family's 1533-position model. The record is from RNAcentral.
UGAGGAAUAUUGGUCAAUGGGCGAGAGUCUGAACCAGCCAAGUAGCGUGCAGGAUGACGGCCCUAUGGGUUGUAAACUGCUUUUAUACGGGAAUAAAGUGAGGCACGUGUGCCUUUUUGUAUGUACCAGUAUGAAUAAGGACCGGCUAAUUCCGUG